CACUUGGCCGAUCAGUUGAAUAAUGAAGAAAACGGCGAAAAGCGCAGUCAGCCCACGCAAUGCAUCAUCCAGCCGGAACAGAACGAAUGGUUCGAUGCGGACCAGUUUUCCGGUCUCGCCAUAGCUGCGAUUAGUCUCCUUGAGAAAAAUGCAGGCAAGCAGGAACGCGAAGCCGUUUAGAAGGGCAGCGGCGAUAAACGGAGCAUGAGCAGAAAUACCACCGAGCAUGCCACCAAGUGCUGGCCCGGCAAUCAUGCCUGUCCCAUAACAGGCUCCCAUGUAGCCGAACCAGCGUGCGCGAGACCCUUCCCCUGUCGAAUCGGCAAUGGUUGAGGCAGCUACAGCUCCGGUUGCUCCCGUGAUGCCAGAAAUGAGCCGGCCAAUAUACAGCACCCAUAAGACCGGCGCUGAUGCCAUAAUNGUGUAAUCGAC
This 432-nucleotide ribosomal RNA is filed under the name uncultured bacterium. RNAcentral describes it as "partial 16S ribosomal RNA". The record is from RNAcentral.